This is a long non-coding RNA of Cloeon dipterum, 487 nucleotides long. RefSeq lists it as uncharacterized. The record is from RefSeq and is a predicted model, not a curated record. The transcript has 3 exons. NCBI's taxonomy places the organism in Eukaryota, Metazoa, Arthropoda, Insecta, Ephemeroptera, Baetidae.
GACAGCCUGUUGGAAUCAGCAUGGAAGGCACAGCUUGUCCACCAUUCAGAGGUUUCAAUUGCAAGCGGGUUGGUGGACAGCUUCUAUGCUGACAACAUGCUAGUUUUCAUUGACAUGGGCCUCGUUGUGCAAGCUGCCGAAACUUCACAGACCCCAUCCCAGGCUAUUAAAAAGAUCAUACUUGGCCACUUCACAGAAGAUGCUAUCAUGAACACCACAGUUGUUGGCUGCGAUGGAUUGAUGUCACUCUUCCCCGCGCUAGUGCAGACUUUAAUAAGUACUCUGCAGCAAGAAGACCUUUGCCUGAGAUUUGGUCCGGAAAAAUGCAGCAGACAUGCAAUGAUAACUGCCAUCAGAUCAUUGAAGAGCAAUCUCCGCCGCAAACUGAUAGGCAAAUCAGGAAAAAACAAACGCAGGAAGUAAACAGCUCUGAUAAGAAUGGCACUGGUCACAUAUUUUAUUUAAUAAUGUUUCCAAACUGGGGUUU